UUCCCUAACUCUGUGUUUCUCAAACACAAAAUUGAAUUGCCCCUCUUAUUUACUAAACUUGCUGCACCUUCUAUGUCCCCACCAAAGGCACAGGUUCAGUUUACAUUGUGAGCAAGACUUCAAGGGACUGGUGCUUGAUUUGCAUGAAGCUGGAAGCCAUGAGCUGGGGAAAACAUGCAUUUUGAAUCAAAUAAAUCAAAUAAUGUUGUAAUGGGGAACACAAAAGCCCUUAUAGAGUCCUUUGCAGGUUCUCCAUCGGUCGGAGAAAAUAACAGAGGCUAACCAGAGAAUAUUGAGAAGCAAAGCAGCUAGUAAGCCUGAUCUUUAUUGAACUGUUGCAACAGGGUGCCCCCUUCACACGCAGGAGAAGGAGGAGGACCCAGAACCAAGGCAUGCCCGCCUUUAUAUAGACAUUUUAAAUUGCCCGCCCUGGAGUCCAAGACCACCCCCAGAAACAUCAUACAUACAUCACAGAAGGGGUGUAGCUCAAGACCACCCCGCAGACACAUCAUACCUACACCACAGAAAGGGUGGUCUACAACAGAAAUCUGAGUGUGUUGUUUUCCUCCUGCCUGGCAGAUUACCUGUUAAUGCUUACCACCCCCCCACAUAUCUACAUCACAGAAAAGGUGGUCUACAACAGACAUUUGAAUGUUGUUUUUCCUGUCUGCCAGGUUAUCUGUUUAAUGGUCACUUGUUUGGAUUGCCUGGGGAGCCUGGCCAGUCUUUUGUAAUGAUAAAUACUUAGUUCCUGAGCCAGGUCACAGGCUCACCCUAUUCAUACACAGACAUACCCUUAAGACAGGAUUUGUGAAUGAAAAGACAAUGGGGAGGCUUUUCCAUUUUCCUUCAACCUUGCAGAGAAACCAUUUGGUCAGUUUGGGAGUCAAAAUGGUUUCAGGGCUGUUUUCCUGUGCUGCUUCAGACAUGUGGUUUAUAUAUUUAUGUACGUGUUUGCUUGGUACAUUUAUGAACAUUUAUUAUAUAUAUAAGACCUUAAUUUUUUUAUUUCAAUGUAAAUCUAUUUAUUUUGGGUUGAAAAAUAGUCACGGCAUCCAAGUGAAAAUGUGCUGCUCAUCUGAAAGGCAGUUUUUUUGAAAGUUUAAUCCACAGGAGGAAGGAGCCAUCAUUUGUUCUGAAAAUGCUAUCUUUAGCAUUAAAUUCCCAAUUCUUAAAUAAGGCUUGGCGCAAAGCUCAGCAGCCAAAUGCAAAAUCUGAAAGCUCACGUGGCUAGGCCUGCAGCUCAACACUGACGGCUGAGAUGGCACAGGGCUAAAACUUUGCCAAAUGGAUACAAUGGAUUCUUAUUGGUUUGGAAAUUCAUAAACUGCACCUGGAAAUUCUGAUAAAGAGAAGAUGGGCUGUUUCUAAAAACAGUCCCUUGCAAACAGACCCCUCCCAAAUUGGCCUCCCACUCUCCACCCCCAUCGUUCAGCUCCGAGGGCCUUCUGGCGGUUCCCUCAUUGAGAGAAGUGAGGUUACAGGGAACCAGGCAGAGGGCCUUCUCGGUAGUGGCGCCCGCCCUGUGGAACGCCCUCCCAUCCGAUGUCAAGGAAAUAAACAACUACCUGACUUUUAGAAGACAUCUGAAGGCAGCCCUGUUUAGGGAAGCUUUUAAGGUUUGAUGUUUUAUCAUGUUUUUAAUAUUCUGUUGGGAGCCACCCAAAGUGGUUGGGGAAACCCAGCCAGAUGGGCAGGGUAUUAAUAAUAAAUUAUUAUUAUUGUUGUUAUUUUUAUGGUACCAAAGAGAGCGUUGAGUGUUGUUUUGCAUUAAGAAGAAAACUGAAAUGUCCCCUACCAGUUGCAGCUACCUCAAGGUUUUGGAAUGUUUUUGGCCCUUCGUACAGAGAGCUCUGGUUCACCUGUUAACAAGACUCCACCUGGUGAGAGGCUUCCAGGUGACUCCAAUGAUUGCGGCUGCUUACUACUCCAGUUUUCCAACACUCAUUGUUGCUGCUUGCCCAUCUUGGCUGUGAGUCCUGGAAGACCUUUUUCUUGGCUUGCAGGCUCCCCGCCCCCCCGGUCUUGGAGAGGGUGCCUUGACUGACCCCUGCCCAAAAACUGAAGCUGCUCAAGAGGCUAGAGACCAUAUUGACAGUAAGUGCUAAAACCCUGCUCCCUGCCUUGCAGGCCUUUUCCAAAAACUGAAGCCCUUAGGCUAGGGUGUUGUUGGGUUUUUUUGGGGGGGGGGUGUUGUUGAGGUUGGUCUUUUGAAUAUUUUAGAUCUUGUGAUUUAUAUGGAAAUGGUUCAGCUUGGUUGUACAUUUUUUAAACGUUUUAUUUACUGCUUAUGACUACUUUGGUUAUGUUGUGGGGUUUUUUCAUGUUGUAAGCUGCCUUGAGCAUGGUUUGAAUGGUGGAAAGGUGGCCUACAAAUUAAAUUAUGUAUUUAGGCAUGCAUAUACAGUGGUACCUUGGGUUAAGUACUUAAUUCGUUCCGUAGGUCCGUACUUAACCUGAAACUGUUCUUAACCUGAAGCACCACUUUAACUAAUGGGGCCUCCUGCUGCUGCCGUGCCGCCGGAGCCCAAUUUCUGUUCUUAUCCUGAAGCAAAGUUCUUAACCUGAAGCAUUAUUUCUGGCUUAGUGGAGUGUGUAACCUGAAGCGUAUGUAACCUGAAGCAUCUGUAACCCGAGGUACCACUGUAUUGGUUUCGUCUGCUCAAUCUGCCAGAACCUGUCCUGUAUAUAACCCGAGGUACCACUGUACUUGCUUGCUCACCUUUCCUCCAGCUGCAUGUGUCCUCUUCUCCUCUGACUUCCCCCAAAAUGCAAGGGACUUUGGGAGGGAAGGCAAGUGACUGAGUUGGAGUAGCAAUAAGAGAAGGUUGGUUAAACUGCCAAAGUCACCUGGAGAAGGCUUCUCGUGUCAUUUACAGGCUCCGAUGCAGAGAAUGCAGCCUAUGCUUAAGAACUUUGGUGUGGAGGAUGUGUAAGAGUCCGCUUGGGGGGAGAUAGAUUUUGUAACGAUCUGAUUCAACAUUCCCAACAAUGUGUGAUUUUUGCCAUGAGAUCAUUUACAAGUAACUGUUUAAUAGGGUUUCCUGGCAUUUUGUUUUUGCGAUUUUUCAUUAUUAUUUGCUAUACAAGUUACUACCAGCCAUGAAUUUUACUGGAAAGGGGCACAAUUUCUGGGCUUGCUUUUAAUCCUUGUGCAGCAGCUAUCUCCUGUACUGCCAGUAAAUAGUUCUUGCUUGCAUGCUUUGAGGCUGUGCUUUACGAAGACUCCUCUUGGCCCGUGUACCAUUUGAAGAGUUGCCCAGAAAACGCAGAAGGAAAUUCACCCUGGUAAAAUUCUGUUAUUACCGUCCUAGAACAUUUUCUCUUGCGCUCUGUUCUCUUUGGAGGCAGUCAUUAGAAAAUAAGAGUCCUGCAUGACCAGGCAAAGGAGCCGUUGAUUUAUUUAUUUUUAUAAAAUUUAUAUGCUGCGUGACCGUAAAAGAAAAAGGGGAAAAAACCAACAACCUCGAAGUGGUUUAGAAACAACAACAACAAUAAAGAAAAAAUUACAGCACUUGAGAACAUAAAAAGUUAAAACACUAAAAACAGAUUAAAAUUCACACCAGCUUUCUACUGUUUGUCAGUGUUUGAUGACUUUCCCCCAUUGUCAUUAUUUGGAGUGGCAAGAACAGCAACAAACAAAGCAAACUGAUAAAUAAAACCGUAUAUUUUG
Molecule: long non-coding RNA, 3673 nt
Filed under: Podarcis lilfordi (Lilford's wall lizard)
Lineage: Eukaryota; Metazoa; Chordata; Lepidosauria; Squamata; Lacertidae
Source: RNAcentral